AUGCCCGUGGUGGGGCUCAUCCCGUUCGUGUACGCGGCGAUCAAGAAGAAGCGGAGGUCGUCGUCAGCGAGGGCGGACCGCUACGCGGAGAUCGCCGCCAGCGCUGCCGCCGCGCGGGGGCGGGAGCGCGCGCGCUUCGACGGCGGCGGUGCGUACCUGUCCCAGAGCUGCCAUUUCGUCGUGCGUCCACCUUCGCCACCCGACGAGCUUGGUUUCACGUACCACGACGACUGCGCUCCGCGCCGCACGCCACCGGAGAGUCUCUCGCGGAAGCUUUCCUCGGCGGAUCUCUACGAGCGCCUGGUGGCCACGGGCGGGCGGGAGGACGCGCGCGUCGACGGCGGCGGCUACCAGUCCCAGAGCUGCCGGUUCGCGGCGCGUCCUUGGACAGCCGACGAGGUCGGCGCACAAUGCGACGGAGGCUCCGCUCGACGCGCGCAGCCGGAGGUUGUGCCGCGCCAGCUGCUUCCUCCGGCCAGCCGAGACGACCGCCUCGCCACAGGCGAGACGAGAGGACGGGAUAACGCGCGCUUCGACGGCGGCGGUUAUCAGUCUCAGAGCUGCCGGUUCGCCGCGCGUCCUUCGCCGGUCGACGAGCUCAGUGUUUCGCGCGACGAAGGCGGGGCCUCCCGCCACCCCCCGGCACAACUGGAGGGUCUCUCGCGGCAGCUGCUUCUGCCGGCCAGCCGAAAAGACCCCGUCGGCACCGGCGAGACGCGCUGGCGGGAGCAAGACCACGCUCGCUUGUAUGGCGGCAGUCACCAGUCUCAGAGCUGCCGGUUCGCCGCGCGACCUUCGGAUGCCUACAAGUUCGAGCUCGGUUUCUCGCAUGACGAAGAAUACGGCGUCGCCAGCCAGGCGCCGGAGGACCUCUCGCGCAAGCUGCUGUUGCCGGCCGGCCGGAGGGAGCGCGAGGUCUCCAGGUCCCUGAGGUUCAGCAGCAAGCGCGUGUUCGCGUGGGUCAGUGGCGCCUAA
This 975-nucleotide ribosomal RNA is filed under the name Triticum aestivum (bread wheat). RNAcentral describes it as "partial small subunit ribosomal RNA". The record is from RNAcentral. Lineage: Eukaryota; Viridiplantae; Streptophyta; Magnoliopsida; Poales; Poaceae.